RNAcentral lists this ribosomal RNA (508 nucleotides) under Acanthamoeba sp. CDC # V155. RNAcentral describes it as "SSU rRNA". It matches the Rfam family "Eukaryotic small subunit ribosomal RNA", at positions 796 to 1204 of the family's 1831-position model. The record is from RNAcentral. Lineage: Eukaryota; Discosea; Longamoebia; Acanthamoebidae.
CGAAUACAUUAGCAUGGGAUAAUGGAAUAGGACCCUGUCCUCCUAUUUUCAGUUGGUUUUGGCAGCGCGAGGACUAGGGUAAUGAUUAAUAGGGAUAGUUGGGGGCAUUAAUAUUUAAUUGUCAGAGGUGAAAUUCUUGGAUUUAUGAAAGAUUAACUUCUGCGAAAGCAUCUGCCAAGGAUGUUUUCAUUAAUCAAGAACGAAAGUUAGGGGAUCGAAGACGAUCAGAUACCGUCGUAGUCUUAACCAUAAACGAUGCCGACCAGCGAUUAGGAGACGUUGAAUACAAAACACCACCAUCGGCGCGGUCGUCCUUGGCGUCGGUCCUUCACGGGGCCGGCGCGAGGGCGGCUUAGCCCGGUGGCACCGGUGAAUGACUCCCCUAGCAGCUUGUGAGAAAUCAUAAGUCUUUGGGUUCCGGGGGGAGUAUGGUCGCAAGGCUGAAACUUAAAGGAAUUGACGGAAGGGCACCACCAGGAGUGGAGCCUGCGGCUUAAUUUGACUCAAC